AUGGUUAAAGUAUCAGCAACUGUUGGAAAGUUCUUCCUGGAACUGAACCAAAAUCUGCCUCUUCGCCACAUGCCUGAAUUGGCCCAAACCUCGUCCCUGGGACCGCACAGGACAGGUCACUCCAUCUGUCCCAGGUCAACCACGAGUCCUGCAAAAGGUCAUGAUCCCAUGGUGCUGGAAUCAAGUCCUACAUCAGGCUCCCUGCUCAGUGGGAAGCCUGCUUUUCCCUCUCCCACUCCCCUGCUUGUGUUCCCUCUCUUAAUGUAUCUCUGUCAAAUAAAUGUUUUUUUUUUUUUAAAGAAUAUGCUAUUUCCAAUUAUGCCUCUCUGCCCUUUCAGCAAAUGUACAACAAUGUACUUCUCAUUAACACCAGCAUGUCUGCCCACACCCUCUCCAGCCCCGGGUUUCGAUGUUUGGCCAAAUUAGACAGCAAAAGACACUCAUUUUUACUGUCUUUCCUUAAAUUUUUAGUGAAAGUAAAUGAGUAUCUUUUCAUGGGUUUUGUUGUUUGGGGGUUUUUUUGGUUUGUUUUUGUUUUUGUUUUUGGUCACUUGUAAUUAUUUUCUUUGUGAAUUGCCUGUUCGUGUCUUUUGCCCAUUUUUCUAAUUAGAUAUUUAUCUUUUUCUUAAUGAAUGGUAAGAGUUCUUUGCAUAUUUGAGAUCAGAUUAAACAAUUAUCUCUCAUAUAUGCUUUCCCUUUCUUCAGUUUUCUUUUAAUGGUCUUUCUGGUACUUAAAUUUUUAAUCUUCAUAUAUUCAAAUUUAUCAAUCUUUUCUUUUAUGAUUUCUGAGUAUCCCAGCAUGUUUAGAAGGAAAGUCCCUAACUUAAGAUGACCAAAAUAGUCAUUCAUAUUUAUUCAUUUGUAUUCAUGAAUACUCUGUAGUCUUCAGGGCUUGGUCUUAUUGGAGUAAGACAGAAAACCAGCUUGCGUUGUAAUGGCUGGCCCAUGCCAGCACCAUUUAUAAAAUAGCCUAUAUUAGGGAUGCCUGGGUGGCUUAGUUGGUUAAAAUAGCCCAUAUUUUCCCAACUCGAUAGAAAUACCAUUUUAUCAUACACAAAAUUCCCUUAAAUACUUGUAUCUUUUCCAAGCUCUGUAUUCUGUCCCAGUGAUCUAUGCUUACAUAAGAAGUUUAAUUAUUGUCCCUUUAUAAAACAUUUUAAUACCUGAGAGGGUAAAUAUUCAUCAUUUUUCUUUUCAAAAAUUUCCCUUAGCUACUCUACUUUUUUACUUUUUCAGAUUAGCUUUAUAUUAUUUUUGAUAAAUUUUUAAAAAUCCUGUUGGAGUAUUGAUUGGAUUAUCUUAAUUUUGUACAUUCACUUAAGGAGCAUGGACAGACUUAUGGCAUUAAAUCUUUUCACCCAAGAACUAGGGAUAAUUAUCCAAGUUUCUUUUCUUUAUUUUUUUUUUAAGAUUUUAUUUAUUUAUUUGUCAGAGAGAGAGCGAGAGCGAGCACAGGCAGACAGAGUGGCAGGCAGAGUCAGAGGGGGAAGCAGCCUCCCUGCGGAGCAAGGAGCCCGAUGUGGGACUCGAUCCCAUGAUGCUGGGAUGAUGACCUGAGCUGAAGGCAGCUGCUUAACCAACUGAGCCACCCAGGCGUCCCUCCAAGUUUCUUUUCUAUCCCUCAGGAGGUCUUUCUGCUUUUCCUCAUGCAAAUUCUACAUGUUUCUUAUAAAGUUUAUUUCCAGACAUUUUGUGUUAUUAUUUUCUUCUUCAUGGUAUGGACAAGGCCUUUUAUUUUACCUUCUAGGUAGUCAUUUUGUAAAUAGAAAAGCUAUUAGUUUUUGUAUAUUGUUUUGUUACUGGCCAUUUUACUAAACUUUAUUUUUUCUGUCUGUUUUCAGGAAAUUGUCUUGGGUUUUCCAGAUAAAUAAUCAUCUUAUCUGCAAACUAGAAUUAUUUUCUCUCCUCUUCCAAUAUGUAUCUUUUUUAUUUCUUGUCUAAUUAUAAUGCCUAGCAGUUUAGGGAAAGUGUUUUUUAAAAUACUGAUAACAACAGCUGCUAUGGUCUAGUUUCUAACUUUAAUAAGAAUAUAUCUAGGGUUUCACCAACCUAAUGUCUCCUGUGAAUCCUUUCUACUCCUGUGACCACUAUCCUGGUCCAGCCUGUAUUAAUUUGUCAUCUGUGUCAUCACAAACGGGAUGAACAAGGGUACAGGCUUUGAAGUCAGAUGACCUGGGUUCAGGUCCUGACGGUCAUUUAGCAACCAGACAAUCUUGUUAAGUUAUUCAAGAUCAUUGAAAUUCCAAAAAAGGAGGGGGGAAGUUGUGAGGACUAAGUUAGAUAAUCCACACGCUAUGUGCAAUAUCUGUAAAUGAUGAUAUUUUUAGGUCUUUGCCCCCAACUCCUCCUUCCAAUCCUACCCCUAUUCCAUUCUUAGGUUGACCUUCCCAAUACCACUGGGCUCAUAGCACUCUACCACACCCUCCCCUGCUCACAAGACUGCAAUUAUCCCUCACUGCCUACAGAAUGAAGGCCCAAACUCUAAACUCGUGUCUGAGAUCUUCCAUUAUUCAACUCCAACUAUCUUCCAGCCUGACUUCCUAUAACCCCAUACCACCCCCUCAUCACACAUCCCUCCCAAACCUUUACUCCAUCCUAGAUGUUCUCCUCACUAAUGGCUGCCUAAUACCACACAGGUCCUCACUCUACACUCAGAUCCCUGUAUCAGCAUUUAUAUGUAUCACAAGUACUACAAAAUUAAAAUCUAAAUGGAUUUAAUAAAGUAGAUUUAGCAGCUCACUUAAUAGAAUAGUCCAGAUGCAACAGCCUUCAGGCACAGUUUGAUCAGGGCUGGAGCAACAUUUUUCUGUGAUGUUUCAGGCUCUUCCCACCUCCAUAUGUUUAUAAUAGUCUCCGGUUGUGUUCCCAGUCACCAGAUGCCUGCCAGGAAUUAGAUCCACAAGCUACCUCAUUCAAAUCCAGAUAGAGAGAUUGGAUGUCUUUCUCUAGUCAUCUAACAAAAAUUCUGGCCUUCAUCUCACUGGGCCAAUAUAAACCAAUCCUUGUGACUGUGUGUUGACUGGUGUAGAAACAACCUGUGUGCCAAAAAUGGGUCUGGGGGAGAAGGAUUAUCUUGAUUGCCGCCCAGGACUCCCCUCCAGAGCCACACAACCAUUGGAUAUGGGUCAGGGGUCAAUGACCUCAACUGCAUUACAACCUCUUCUGCCUCACUCUCCUGGGACUCGGGCUUCCUUUAAAGCCCCAGAGUUCUGAUAAUGUGCCCAAUCCCUUUUAGUUCCCAGACUCUCUGCUCAACACAUGGUAAGCACGGCCAUAUAGAAUUUAUUUAUAGAGUCAUUUGUCUGUUCUUCCCAAUUAGUAAUCACAGAACUGAUUAAUAAAGUCUACGAAACACUUUAUACAAGGUAGCCCUUUCGACCUUCACAACAACCCUCUGAGACUCAGAGAGCUUAAGUGACUUGCCCUGUGUCACAAAGCCAGAAAUGAUGUUGCCCCAAAUGCCACUGCAGUAAGCUUGCUCUCCCUCUCUCUCACACAGACAUGCACCCCCACACACUCUGUCCUCUAACCACCCACUCAGGCCCAACCCAAAGAUGCAAAAACCCAACCCCCUGGCACGACCUCCUUUUUCCCACUUCACCCCAAUUUCUAGAGCUCUUAGACUUCCUCCAAAAAGUACAAAGAAAGUUUUCUUGCCAGACAGCAGUUUCUAAGAUUUGUGUGACAAGGCUGGGUACAAUUCAAAUGACUCUGGGUGAUUUAAUCUGCUUGGGGCUGGGGUGGUAAAUCAGUGCAGCCCAGGCUGCCACAGCCGUCCCAGAAACCCAUGAGCCGAGCUGCUGGUAGGCGUUUAUCUGCAGAUCUGCAGGUGAGGGGCCUGGAAGCGUGAACCGCGGCCCAGGGAGUUCCCCUCUGCUGCACUCGGAAUACAUCUGGAGGGUCCUACGACCCACAGCCUCUUCCCGGCCUACAUGUUCCACCAGGAAAUAGCUUUCCCAAGGAUGCGGCCCCGACUCCUCUUCUCACCUCCCCGCUG
This 3997-nucleotide long non-coding RNA is filed under the name Mustela putorius furo (domestic ferret). Its description in RNAcentral is "lncRNA (ENSMPUG00000027080.1)". Lineage: Eukaryota; Metazoa; Chordata; Mammalia; Carnivora; Mustelidae. The record is from RNAcentral.